CUCCUCUCUCUGGGUUUGAUUCGCUUCGGAAAUGGCGGCAUCACUCCAGUCGGCAGUGUUCCUCUCAAAUCGUAUUGAUCCGCACAGGCGUCUCUUUGCAUCCCCUGCGAGAUCUCUUCCAGGAACGAAAGGAAGCAUCUUGGUUGUUAGAUCUGAUGGAAGGAUCUCCGGUAGGCUCAGUGGAAGGAAUUUGAUCACAAAUGCCGUUGCAACGAAGGCCGAUACUCCUACAAGUUCCACCGACUCUAAACCU
This is a long non-coding RNA of Zingiber officinale, 253 nucleotides long. RefSeq lists it as uncharacterized. The record is from RefSeq and is a predicted model, not a curated record. NCBI's taxonomy places the organism in Eukaryota, Viridiplantae, Streptophyta, Magnoliopsida, Zingiberales, Zingiberaceae. The transcript is spliced from 3 exons.